AUACGGAGGAUGCAAGCGUUAUCCGGAUUUAUUGGGUUUAAAGGGUACGUAGGCGGAAAAUUAAGUCAGUGGUGAAAUCCUGCAGCUUAACUGUAGAACUGUCAUUGAUACUGGUUUUCUUGAAUAUAGUUGAGGUAGGCGGAAUGUGUAAUGUAGCGGUGAAAUGCUUAGAUAUUACACAGAACACCGAUUGCGAAGGCAGCUUACUAAGCUAUGAUUGACGCUGAGGUACGAAAGCGUGGGGAGCGAACAGGAUUAGAUACCCUGGUAGUCCACGCUGUAAACGAUGAUCACUCGUUGUUGGCAAUACAUCGUCAGCGACUGAGCGAAAGCAUUAAGUGAUCCACCUGGGGAGUACGAUCGCAAGAUUGAA
RNAcentral lists this ribosomal RNA (373 nucleotides) under uncultured bacterium. Its description in RNAcentral is "bacterial SSU rRNA". It matches the Rfam family "Bacterial small subunit ribosomal RNA", at positions 523 to 898 of the family's 1533-position model. The record is from RNAcentral.